AAUUCUUCAUUUAAUCAAUUAACUCAUGAAAACAAAACAAAAUAGCAUCAAACACAAAUGUCACAUUAACUCACGGUGUGAAAACAUAAUCAUAAGCAUCAUCUAUCAUAUUCAUAUCAAACAAUAAAGAAAAGAAAACUCCAUUGAAGGUUAAGGGAAACCUCCUCACCCUUUCAUGAUUAAGGCACCCUUAGAUAAAUAAUUCACCUUACUUUAUAAAUCCAUCAAAAGCAAGCAAGCAACUCCUCUAUGAUUCUCCUUUGCCAAACCCUAACUCUCCGAUGCUCUUCCUCUCAAUUUUUUUUCAUGUACUGACAAAU
Molecule: long non-coding RNA, 320 nt
Filed under: Lathyrus oleraceus (garden pea)
Lineage: Eukaryota; Viridiplantae; Streptophyta; Magnoliopsida; Fabales; Fabaceae
Description: Pisum sativum (pea) long non-coding RNA (PSAT_LNC018976)
Source: RNAcentral